Non-coding RNA from Vicia faba (fava bean), 207 nucleotides. NCBI's taxonomy places the organism in Eukaryota, Viridiplantae, Streptophyta, Magnoliopsida, Fabales, Fabaceae. The record is from the annotation of a GenBank genome assembly.
AUGUCACCCUCCUACGACGCUACUACUCCCUCCGUCUACCACUUGCUGUCACACGGCCAUAGAAGACAACCAUCUCUUUCGGUCACACUUCAAUAUUCGCGCAUACACAACACACGUUCAACUCCAUCAUCCGCUCCAACUCAAGCCAUCACCACCAUUCUUCUUUGGAUGCUCCUGGGCACGAUUUGGAAGAUUUAUUUGCGUUGA